AAAUGCGAUAAGUAAUGUGAAUUGCAGAAUUUAGUGAAUCAUCGAAUCUUUGAACGCACAUUGCGCCCGCCAGUAUUCUGGCGGGCAUGCCUGUCCGAGCGUCAUUUCAACCAUCAAGCCCCCGGGCUUGUGUUGGGGACCUGCGGCUGCCCGCAGGCCCUGAAAACCAGUGGCGGGCUCGCUGUCACACCGAGCGUAGUAGCAAUCACCUCGCUCAGGGCGUGCUGCGGGUUCCGGCCGUUAAACAGCCUUACAAAACCCAAGGUUGACCUCGGAUCAGGUAGGAAGACCCGCUGAACUUAAGC
RNAcentral lists this unclassified non-coding RNA (305 nucleotides) under plant metagenome. RNAcentral describes it as "partial contains 5.8S ribosomal RNA, internal transcribed spacer 2, and large subunit ribosomal RNA". The stretch from base 1 to 104 matches the Rfam family "5.8S ribosomal RNA", at positions 51 to 154 of the family's 154-position model. The record is from RNAcentral.